Molecule: unclassified non-coding RNA, 378 nt
Filed under: plant metagenome
Description: partial contains 5.8S ribosomal RNA, internal transcribed spacer 2, and large subunit ribosomal RNA
Rfam family: 5.8S ribosomal RNA (bases 1-105)
Source: RNAcentral
GAAAUGCGAUAAGUAAUGUGAAUUGCAGAAUUCAGUGAAUCAUCGAAUCUUUGAACGCACCUUGCGCUCCUUGGUAUUCCUUGGAGCAUGCCUGUUUGAGUAUCAUGAAAUCUUCAAAGUAAAGCUUUUGUUAACUCAAUUGGUUUCUACUUUGGUAUUGGAGGUCUUUGCAGCUUCACACCUGCUCCUCUUUGUUCAUUAGCUGGAUCUCAGUGUUAUGCUUGGUUCCACUCGGCGUGAUAAGUUAUCUAUCGCUGAGGACACUGUAAAAGGUGGCCAAGGUAAAUGCAGAUGAACCGCUUCUAAUAGUCCAUUGACUUGGACAAUACUUUUAUGAUCUGAUCUCAAAUCAGGUAGGACUACCCGCUGAACUUAAGC